This 396-nucleotide ribosomal RNA is filed under the name uncultured bacterium. RNAcentral describes it as "bacterial SSU rRNA". It matches the Rfam family "Bacterial small subunit ribosomal RNA", at positions 521 to 916 of the family's 1533-position model. The record is from RNAcentral.
UAAUACGAAGGGGGCUAGCGUUGCUCGGAAUUACUGGGCGUAAAGGGCGCGUAGGCGGCUUGGCCAGUCAGGCGUGAAAUUCCUGGGCUUAACCUGGGGACUGCGCUUGAUACUGCCAGGCUCGAGGCCGAGAGAGGGUGGUGGAAUUCCCAGUGUAGAGGUGAAAUUCGUAGAUAUUGGGAAGAACACCAGUGGCGAAGGCGACCACCUGGCUCGGUACUGACGCUGAGGCGCGACAGCGUGGGGAGCAAACAGGAUUAGAUACCCUGGUAGUCCACGCCGUAAACGAUGUGUGCUGGAUGUUGGGGUCCCUAGGAUCUCAGUGUCGUAGCCAACGCGGUAAGCACACCGCCUGGGGAGUACGGCCGCAAGGUUGAAACUCAAAUGAAUUGACGG